GUACACAAAAAUGCACAUACUGUGAGCUCGAUGAGUAGGGCGGGACACGUGGUAUCCUGUCUGAAUAUGGGGGGACCAUCCUCCAAGGCUAAAUACUCCUGACUGACCGAUAGUGAACCAGUACCGUGAGGGAAAGGCGAAAAGAACCCCGGCGAGGGGAGUGAAAAAGAACCUGAAACCGUGUACGUACAAGCAGUGGGAGCCUCUUAAUGGGGUGACUGCGUACCUUUUGUAUAAUGGGUCAGCGACUUAUAUUCUGUAGCAAGGUUAACCGAAUAGGGGAGCCGAAGGGAAACCGAGUCUUAACUGGGCGUUAAGUUGCAGGGUAUAGACCCGAAACCCGGUGAUCUAGCCAUGGGCAGGUUGAAGGUUGGGUAACACUAACUGGAGGACCGAACCGACUAAUGUUGAAAAAUUAGCGGAUGACUUGUGGCUGGGGGUGAAAGGCCAAUCAAACCGGGAGAUAGCUGGUUCUCCCCGAAAGCUAUUUAGGUAGCGCCUCGUGAAUUCAUCUCCGGGGGUAGAGCACUGUUUCGGCAAGGGGGUCAUCCCGACUUACCAACCCGAUGCAAACUGCGAAUACCGGAGAAUGUUAUCACGGGAGACACACGGCGGGUGCUAACGUCCGUCGUGAAGAGGGAAACAACCCAGACCGCCAGCUAAGGUCCCAAAGUCAUGGUUAAGUGGGAAACGAUGUGGGAAGGCCCAGACAGCCAGGAUGUUGGCUUAGAAGCAGCCAUCAUUUAAAGAAAGCGUAAUAGCUCACUGGUCGAGUCGGCCUGCGCGGAAGAUGUAACGGGGCUAAACCAUGCACCGAAGCUGCGGCAGCGACACUAUGUGUUGUUGGGUAGGGGAGCGUUCUGUAAGCCUGUGAAGGUGUACUGUGAGGUAUGCUGGAGGUAUCAGAAGUGCGAAUGCUGACAUAAGUAACGAUAAAGCGGGUGAAAAGCCCG
This 953-nucleotide ribosomal RNA is filed under the name Escherichia coli. Its description in RNAcentral is "partial 23S ribosomal RNA". It matches the Rfam family "Bacterial large subunit ribosomal RNA", at positions 375 to 1332 of the family's 2925-position model. The record is from RNAcentral. Lineage: Bacteria; Pseudomonadati; Pseudomonadota; Gammaproteobacteria; Enterobacterales; Enterobacteriaceae.